This is a long non-coding RNA of Ornithodoros turicata, 203 nucleotides long. RefSeq lists it as uncharacterized. The transcript has 3 exons. Lineage: Eukaryota; Metazoa; Arthropoda; Arachnida; Ixodida; Argasidae. The record is from RefSeq and is a predicted model, not a curated record.
GCAGUUUCAUGUGUGCAACAGCACAUACUUUUUCUCAGUUUGUAAACCUGUCACGCAGAUGCCCUACCCCUUGGUCUCGCCAUCAUGGACACUGUCACCAGCUAGCUUGCUGUUGAACCGUUCUUUCAACGAUAAGGGUCACUUUCAUGGACUGGAUGGCAGCCAACAUGCUGUCAAUAAAAAGAAUAAUGGAAGGAGCUCAA